This 71-nucleotide transfer RNA is filed under the name Burara striata. RNAcentral's name for it is "tRNA-Cys". Lineage: Eukaryota; Metazoa; Arthropoda; Insecta; Lepidoptera; Hesperiidae. The record is from RNAcentral.
AGCUUUAUAUUCAAUAGGAUGAUUUAAAAUUGCAAAUUUUAAGGAGUAAGAAAAGAAAAUUACUAAGGCUU